Molecule: unclassified non-coding RNA, 665 nt
Filed under: Hevea brasiliensis (rubber tree)
Lineage: Eukaryota; Viridiplantae; Streptophyta; Magnoliopsida; Malpighiales; Euphorbiaceae
Source: RNAcentral
CACUUCCUGCAUUUCAAGAAACCUAUUUCUUGGAAUUCUCGAAAAUUUUCUUCCUCACCUUCGUUCUUUCUCUCUUGUCAGCUACCUUAUUCCUUUUCCUUUUAUCAAAUUCUUCUCAAUUUUUCUAUUUCCAAUUUCUGCUCUAUUAGGGUUUCAAAUUCAAGACCUUUUUUUUGGGUUCCAUUGACAAAUUCCAGUUGAUUUUAUUUUCCUACAUUUCUUCGCUAAUUUUCUUCCUCAGUUUUCUUGGAGAUAAAUCUUCCGUUCUAUUUUCUAUCAUAACCCAUACCUAGCCCUUUUACUAUCAGAAAAUGGAAAUACAACCUGGGCAACAAGAUAUCAAUUUGCGUAUACUCGAACGUUGGGAAAACUUUAAAAGACAAGAAAAUUUUCUGGAAAAAUUGGAUCGGAGAUGGGAAACAUUUCAGAAGCUGAUUCAAAAUGUGACAACCACAAACCAUGGAAUUGAGAGUUCUUGGAGUAAUGGCAGUGAAUCAGGAGAGUGAGACCACGGAGGUCUCCAUUGACGACAAGGUGAUUUUAAACUCAUUACCCGAGAAUUCUUGGAGUAAUGGCAAUGAGAGGGGAUUACUGAAUAAAAAAGAAGAGACAUGAGAGUUUGAUGUUAAGGAGGAAAAUGACUUUAUUGAUGUGCAGCAUUUCUU